UCUUAUAUUUAGGAACAGAGGGAGUAAAUGACAAGUGAUAAUUGGUCGCAUUAAUAUUCCCAUAUACCUGGACUGGUGGUCAGAAGAAAAGAAUAUUUUAAGACCACGUCAAAUGUAGAUGUACAUUCAUCACAAAAAGUAAAUGUAGAGGUACAUACAAAUUAAAACAGAAAAUGUCCGAAAUUAACUUCAUCAGAACCUUGAGGCUGAGAAUCAUCUCCACAAAAUGGAAACUUGCAUAAUGAGUGACUCUGUGGAUUCAAUACCCAAGAAGACAUAAAGAAACACAAAAAUAAACACACUUUUUCUCUAUUUGAUAUGAAGAAUUAUGCGUGAAAAUUCACAUGCUUCUAGAAAACUGCACCAGAGAACAUACCAGCAAUGGAACCAUCCAC
Molecule: long non-coding RNA, 395 nt
Filed under: Hordeum vulgare
Lineage: Eukaryota; Viridiplantae; Streptophyta; Magnoliopsida; Poales; Poaceae
Description: long non-coding RNA (HVUL_LNC015698)
Source: RNAcentral